UAAGACCCCUUGGAGAGUACGAGGUAGAUAGGCACGAGGUGUAAGCGCAGUAAUGUGUGCAGCUGACGUGUACUAAUCGGUCGAGGGCUUAACCACA
This 97-nucleotide ribosomal RNA is filed under the name Lachnospiraceae bacterium. RNAcentral's name for it is "partial 23S ribosomal RNA". It matches the Rfam family "Bacterial large subunit ribosomal RNA", at positions 2828 to 2925 of the family's 2925-position model. Lineage: Bacteria; Bacillati; Bacillota; Clostridia; Lachnospirales; Lachnospiraceae. The record is from RNAcentral.